GGAUAUAGCUCAGUGGCAGAGUACUUUUCUAGCAAGCAGGGGGCCCUGGGUUCAAUCCCCAGAACUG
This 67-nucleotide transfer RNA is filed under the name Marmota monax (woodchuck). Its description in RNAcentral is "tRNA.Ala". The record is from RNAcentral. Lineage: Eukaryota; Metazoa; Chordata; Mammalia; Rodentia; Sciuridae.